CCAAUAGCGUAUAUUAAAGUUGUUGCAGUUAAAAAGCUCGUAGUUGAAUUUCGGGAUCAGUAGGUCGGUCGUGCCACUGGUAUGAACUGGUCUCACUGGUUCCUCCCUCUUGACGAACUGCAAUGCUAUUAAUUUAGUGUUGUAGGAAAUCAGGACUGUUACUUUGAAAAAAUUAGAGUGUUUAAAGCAGGCUUUGGCUUGAAUACAUUAGCAUGGAAUAAUGAAAUAGGACGUUCGAUCCUAUUUGGUUGGCUUCUAGGAUUGACGUAAUGAUUAAUAGGGACAGUUGGGGGCAUUAGUAUUCAAUUGUCAGAGGUGAAAUUCUUGGAUUUAUUGAAGACUAACUACUGCGAAAGCAUUUGCCAAGGAUGUUUUCAUUAAUCAAGAACGAAAGUUAGGGGAUCGAAGACGAUCAGAUACCGUCGUAGUCUUAACCAUAAACUAUGCCGACUAGGGAUCGGAUGAUGUUAAUUUUUUAAUGACUCAUUCGGCGCCUUAC
Molecule: unclassified non-coding RNA, 499 nt
Filed under: uncultured Glomus
Lineage: Eukaryota; Fungi; Glomeromycota; Glomeromycetes; Glomerales; Glomeraceae
Description: SSU rRNA
Rfam family: Eukaryotic small subunit ribosomal RNA
Source: RNAcentral